RNAcentral lists this ribosomal RNA (710 nucleotides) under Listeria monocytogenes. RNAcentral describes it as "partial 23S ribosomal RNA". It matches the Rfam family "Bacterial large subunit ribosomal RNA", at positions 1188 to 1907 of the family's 2925-position model. Lineage: Bacteria; Bacillati; Bacillota; Bacilli; Caryophanales; Listeriaceae. The record is from RNAcentral.
AUAUUACCGAAGCUGUGGACUACACCAUUAGGUGUAGUGGUAGGAGAGCGUUCUAAGGGCGUUGAAGGUCGAUCGUGAGGACGGCUGGAGCGCUUAGAAGUGAGAAUGCCGGUAUGAGUAGCGAAAGACAGGUGAGAAUCCUGUCCACCGUAUGACUAAGGUUUCCUGGGGAAGGCUCGUCCGCCCAGGGUUAGUCGGGACCUAAGCCGAGGCCGAUAGGCGUAGGCGAUGGACAACAGGUUGAUAUUCCUGUACCAGUUGUUUUUGUUUGAGCAAUGGAGGGACGCAGUAGGCUAAGGAAUGCAUGCGAUUGGAAGUGCAUGUCCAAGCAAUGAGUCUUGAGUAGAGUUAAAUGCUUUACUCUUUAAGGACAAGUUGUGACGGGGAGCGAAAUAAUAGUAGCGAAGUUCCUGAUGUCACACUGCCAAGAAAAGCUUCUAGUGAGAAAACAACUGCCCGUACCGUAAACCGACACAGGUAGUCGAGGAGAGUAUCCUAAGGUGAGCGAGCGAACUCUCGUUAAGGAACUCGGCAAAAUGACCCCGUAACUUCGGGAGAAGGGGUGCUGACUUCGGUCAGCCGCAGUGAAUAGGCCCAAGCGACUGUUUAUCAAAAACACAGGUCUCUGCAAAAUCGUAAGAUGAAGUAUAGGGGCUGACGCCUGCCCGGUGCUGGAAGGUUAAGAGGAUGGGUUAGCUUCGGCGAAGCUC